Non-coding RNA from Pelobates cultripes (western spadefoot toad), 963 nucleotides. The record is from the annotation of a GenBank genome assembly. NCBI's taxonomy places the organism in Eukaryota, Metazoa, Chordata, Amphibia, Anura, Pelobatidae.
CUAUUUUUAUACAUUGUGAUAUUAUUUAUAUGAAAUACACUUCACUUACGAUAACGAUCUUUGGGUCUGAGAAUUGAAUUAGUGGGCAAUUCUCACUGUUAAUAUUAUUAUCCCAUAAAUAUCCCCACAAUACACAUAUACGUAACUGCCCCUCUUGCACACAUACAUUACAUGCCACACACCCCAACAUAAUAAGCAAAAUCUUCCCACACACACAAGCCUGCAUACAGACACAGUCUAACAUGAAUACACAUAUUGACAUGCAUGUAUAGAUACACGCUAACACAUACACACAGUCAAACAUACACAGUUACACACUCACACACUGAAACUCACUGGCAAACAUAUAUAAACACACACUGACAUGCAUAGAUAGACACAUACUAAGAUGCAAUCAUAGACUCACAUUAACCCAGACAUACACUAACACGCAUACACAGAUGCACACUAACAUGCAAUCAAAGUAACUUAAAUACACAUACGCAGACAACUAACAUGCUUACAGUCAUAGUUUGACAUGCAUUCACAGACACACAAACCAAAGACACAUCACACAGCACUUGCUUCCUGUUUCAAUGUGACUAUGCAGCAGUUGUUAAAAUGCUCACACACCAUAGUAAACUUAAAUGAAUGCCCACAAAAUCUGAAUAUACGAAUGUGUUAAAUUCCCCAUACAUAACAUGCCAAUCAAUUUAAGGAUUAUGCAUAUUAUAUAUGUAUAUUUCCCGACCAUAAAUUAAUUUAAAUGAUAUAAUACAAUGGUGAUGUCAUGUUUUUAUUGUUUGUUAAUGGCAUUUAUUUUAAGAUUUCGCUAUCCCCAAAAUAAAACUAUUUCAAUUAAAAUGAUCAUACCACGCUUUUAAAUAGUGGUGCUUUUGUUUCUGCAGCCUAAAACCUAUUUAAUGCAACCCAUUAAUGUAUAUUAUUUAUCAUAAGCAUUAAACGUAAAAUAGCAUUAUCUUG